Molecule: ribosomal RNA, 496 nt
Filed under: uncultured bacterium
Lineage: Bacteria
Description: partial 16S ribosomal RNA
Rfam family: Bacterial small subunit ribosomal RNA
Source: RNAcentral
AUUGAACGCUGGCGGCAUGCUUUACACAUGCAAGUCGAACGGUAGAGGGGGCAACCCCUUGAGAGUGGCGAACGGGUGAGUAAUGCAUCGGAACGUGCCCAGUCGUGGGGGAUAACGCAGCGAAAGCUGUUCUAAUACCGCAUACGAUCUCUGGAUGAAAGCGGGGGACCGAAAGGCCUCGCGCGAUUGGAGCAGCCGAUGUCAGAUUAGGUAGUUGGUGGGGUAAAGGCCUACCAAGCCAACGAUCUGUAGCUGGUCUGAGAGGACGACCAGCAACACUGGGACUGAGACACGGCCCAGACUCCUACGGGAGGCAGCAGUGGGGAAUUUUGGACAAUGGGCGCAAGCCUGAUCCAGCAAUGCCGCGUGCAGGAAGAAGGCCUUCGGGUUGUAAACUGCUUUUGUACGGAACGAAACGGUCUGGGUUAAUACCCUGGGCUAAUGACGGUACCGUAAGAAUAAGCACCGGCUAACUACGUGCCAGCAGCCGCCGUAA